This 107-nucleotide microRNA precursor is filed under the name Jatropha curcas. Its description in RNAcentral is "MIR398 microRNA precursor family". It matches the Rfam family "MIR398 microRNA precursor family". Lineage: Eukaryota; Viridiplantae; Streptophyta; Magnoliopsida; Malpighiales; Euphorbiaceae. The record is from Rfam by way of RNAcentral.
UAUCACCCCAAAGGUGUGGCACCUGAGAACACAGGUGGAUUGGCUUGCCUAUCUUUGGCUCAUGGCUAAUGCACUCUGUGUUCUCAGGUCACCCCUUUGGGGCACCC